CCUACGGGAGGCAGCAGUGGGGAAUAUUGGACAAUGGGGGGAACCCUGAUCCAGCCAUGCCGCGUGUGUGAAGAAGGCCCUCGGGUUGUAAAGCACUUUCAGUGAGGAAGAACGCCUGGUGGUUAAUACCCAUCAGGAAAGACAUCACUCACAGAAGAAGCACCGGCUAACUCCGUGCCAGCAGCCGCGGUAAUACGGAGGGUGCGAGCGUUAAUCGGAAUUACUGGGCGUAAAGCGCGCGUAGGUGGCUUGAUAAGCCGGUUGUGAAAGUCCCGGGCUCAACCUGGGAACGGCAUCCGGAACUGUCAAGCUAGAGUGCAGGAGAGGAAGGUAGAAUUCCCGGUGUAGCGGUGAAAUGCGUAGAGAUCGGGAGGAAUACCAGUGGCGAAGGCGGCCUUCUGGACUGACACUGACACUGAGGUGCGAAAGCGUGGGUAGCAAACAGGAUUAGAUACCCCAGUAGUC
This 465-nucleotide ribosomal RNA is filed under the name Vreelandella stevensii. Its description in RNAcentral is "partial 16S ribosomal RNA". It matches the Rfam family "Bacterial small subunit ribosomal RNA", at positions 338 to 795 of the family's 1533-position model. The record is from RNAcentral. Lineage: Bacteria; Pseudomonadati; Pseudomonadota; Gammaproteobacteria; Oceanospirillales; Halomonadaceae.